RNAcentral lists this ribosomal RNA (496 nucleotides) under uncultured bacterium. RNAcentral describes it as "partial 16S ribosomal RNA". It matches the Rfam family "Bacterial small subunit ribosomal RNA", at positions 28 to 507 of the family's 1533-position model. The record is from RNAcentral.
GAUGAACGCUGGCGGCGUGCCUAAUACAUGCAAGUCGAGCGAACAGACGAGGAGCUUGCUCCUCUGACGUUAGCGGCGGACGGGUGAGUAACACGUGGAUAACCUACCUAUAAGACUGGGAUAACUUCGGGAAACCGGAGCUAAUACCGGAUAACAUGUUGAACCGCAUGGUUCAACAGUGAAAGACGGUCUUGCUGUCACUUAUAGAUGGAUCCGCGCCGCAUUAGCUAGUUGGUAAGGUAACGGCUUACCAAGGCAACGAUGCGUAGCCGACCUGAGAGGGUGAUCGGCCACACUGGAACUGAGACACGGUCCAGACUCCUACGGGAGGCAGCAGUAGGGAAUCUUCCGCAAUGGGCGAAAGCCUGACGGAGCAACGCCGCGUGAGUGAAGAAGGUCUUCGGAUCGUAAAACUCUGUUAUUAGGAAGAACAAAUGUGUAAGUAACUAUGCACGUCUUGACGGUACCUAAUCAGAAAGCCACGGCUAACUACGUG